RNAcentral lists this long non-coding RNA (14177 nucleotides) under Podarcis lilfordi (Lilford's wall lizard). The stretch from base 8867 to 8940 matches the Rfam family "tRNA". Lineage: Eukaryota; Metazoa; Chordata; Lepidosauria; Squamata; Lacertidae. The record is from RNAcentral.
UCUCAAAGCGGCUAACAUUCUCCUUUCCCUUCCUCCCCCACAACAAACACUCUGUGAGGUGAGUGGGGCUGAGAGACUUCAGAGAAGUGUGACUGGCCCAAGGUCACCCAGCAGCUGCAUGUGGAGGAGCGGAGACGCGAACCCGGUUCCCCAGAUUACGAGACUACCGCUCUUAACCACUACACCACACUGGCUCUCAGGAUUUCAUCAUUCAUUCCAUCCCCCACUGAAGCUCAAUUCAUUGUUGCCCAUCCCAAGAAUAUAUUGGGACCCCCUUAAGCUCAAUCCCACCCAUCUGCCAUGAAAGAAUCCAACAAGAAAUAAUGAAAAACAGAUAUAGGAGAUUGCACCCUCCUCCUGUAGAUUCUCACUAAUGCAGAUUUAUUAGUAUUUCUUCACACAUGUAAUCUGCGCAAUUUAAUGAGCAUUUUGGCAACAGUUGCUCUUGUUUCUGGAGCAACUUUUUGUUUCUUCAACAGCAUGUUUAAUCUUUUAAGGAUCAUUGGAUUAGAUGUUUCCGGAACCAUGAAAAAAAGAAAUCGCCGUGUUAUCUGCUAACGGUUUUCUCCGCGGUCAAGAAUUUGCACUUUAUGAGUUUAUUGCACGCUGACACAAUAGCUGUUCCUGUUUACCUAUUAUUUAAGUGAAAAAGUCAGGAAACAUUCUAAAAUCAAAUUCACUGGCACCUUUUGGAAUUGGACGGCUGGCACUGCGAAUGUAAUGAUUUUCUUAAAAAUAGGGGAAAGUAUAACUAUAACACGCCUACCUCCAAAACUCACACUUUCUGUGAAAUUUAGGCAACUCUCCAUUUCCCCGUAUAUUACAGCUUUGGCUUAUGCAUGGUUGCAGAGUUUUGUUAUUAAGUUCUUAAUUCAGCCAUUAUUUUUCACCACUCCACAAUGCAAAUAAAAUGGCAUCAGUGAAUACAUUGUAGGUUCUAUCCAGCUGCUCUGCCGUCCCUUCCAAUUUCACCCUCCAUGUGGGCUUUGUGUCAUUUAGGGAGUCCAUUAUUGGUCUCCUCAAAAUUCUCUCAUUUUCUCUCCCUCCUCUUUCUCCCACUAGCAAUAAUCACCACAGGUGAGAAUGAUCCUGACCACCCUUGGGGGUAAUGAGAAAAAGGUAAGCAUUUUUACAUGCCAUGGGUUUCAGUGGGAGAGAAUGCUCAUUAAAUCUGUUGAAUUCAAAAUUACUCUUAGUUCAGAACGUCAGGCAAGAAGCGACAUGUCAGAAAUGUAUGAAAUUCUGCACAGUGUGGGGAAAGUAGACAGAAAGUAGUAUUUAUUCCUCUCUCAUAUAGCACUAGAAGAAAGCAUUUCUUCACAGAGAGCAGAGUUUAACUAUGGAAUUCACUUCCCCGAGAGGCAGUAACGGCCACCAACUUUCAUGGAGGACCACACAGAUUCAUGGAGGAAAAACUAUAAAUUGCUCUUAAAGAAAAAGCAAUUUACAGUGGUACCUCGGGUUACACACGCUUCAGGUUACAUACGCUUCAGGUUACAGACUCUGCUAACCCAAUUUGGUUAUAAUCAGUGAUUUUUUCUGGGGGUAUGUAGGGGUAUGCGUACCCCUAAACAUUUUGUGAAACUAAUGGGAGAAGAAACUAAAAAAUAAUAAUUAAAACAGUGAAUCGUCAGUUCCAUUGCUACCCUCAAUGGCAGCCUCAUUUCCUGUCAAGGUGUUUCCUGAGUCUCAGACUGAAGCGGGCGUUUAAUGUGUGAAGUAGGAGUUGGAAUCUAGCAUGGUGAUUGGUCAGUUUUGUUGCUACCACCUCCGAUGGUGGCUUCAUUUCCUUUCCCAGUGAUUGUCUUGAGUCAAAAUGAGACUACAAUGGUACCUCAGGUUAAGUACUUAAUUUGUUCCGGAGGUCUGUUCUUAACCUGAAACUGUUCUUAACCUGAAGCACCACUUUAGCUAAUGGGGCCUCCUGCUGCCACCACGCUGCCAGAGCACAAUUUCUGUUCUUAUCCUGAAGCAAAGUUCUUAACCUGAAGCACUAUUUCUGGGUUAGCGGAGUCUGUAACCUGAAGCAUAUGUAACCUGAAGCGUAUGUAACCUGAGGUACCACCGUACCCCUAAACAUUUUUUAAAGAAAAAAGUGCUGGUUAUAAUAAGGCUUACAUUGGAUUUUUGUAAUUGAAAACUAAUAAAAAUUAUUGCAAAAAGAGAGAGAAUGAGUGUGACUUAACCGUUAAAAGGUUGAGGUGACCUGCGUUCAGAUCCAUUCUCAGCCAGGAAGCUCACUGGCAGAGCAAUCUUAUACAUAUUUACUCAGAAGAAAGUCCCACUAGGUUGAGUGGGUCUUCUUCCUAGCUUAGGUGUGUUCAGGUUUGUAGCCUGGGUAACCUUGGGCCCAAUCACUAUUACACAGCCUAACCUCCCUCACAGAUUUGUUGUUUUGUAAAAUAUGAAAACAAAUCCAUCACUUUUAAAACCUACAUAACUGGGCAUAUUUAAAAUAAAGUUGGCUCAAGUGUCCUCCCUCCCUCCCUCCUCUCUCUUUUGCAAAUGCAAAGUAAAAAAAAGCAGGAAAACCUGAUAACUCGUAAGGACUCCUCUGAGGAAGAUUUUAAAGAACCAUUAGAGCCUUAAAUCACUUCAACUAGUUGGAAGAAAGUUUAAAUUUCUAAAUAGUAAAAGAGAAAGAAAACUAUUCCAGGAUCUUUUGAGUAUCUUCCUGAUUGCAAGGGAAAAUCUAUGAGCGCUUAGCAGCAAUUUAAAUUUGCAUUUUCAGUUAUCCCUGCUGAGGCCAUCUAAGAUGAAACAGUAGGUUUAAAUGUAAUUUACUGCAGGAGCUACUCAAGACUGCUCUAGCUACACACACAGAACUUGCAAUUAUUUUUAUGAAUACUCCUUUGCCAAUUGCCAAUUUAAUUUUUUUUUUUAGCCCGGGGGGCGGGGGGAAACCUAACUGCUUGAAACCUUAUUCCCAGUCAGCAUAUAAGAAUAAGAUGCCAUGUGUUGAAAAAAAGCACAUAUCUGACAGUUUUGCCCCCAGUAAGGCAGAUGAUAAGAAAAGCACAAAAUCUUGUGAGGUAAACACUUUUUUUCUUCUUCAGGAAAGACAGAUGCUAGCACAGUUUUUAUGCUGAACAAUACCUGUAGUUCUGCCCCCACCACUUCUCACACAGAGAAGUUAACUCUGUGUUGGAAAAAUAUUGUGUGAAAGCAGCCUUGAAGGUUUUGCACGAAGUCUGUAAUAGUGUGGGACACCAGGGAUUUCUUCUCAGGACCCUUAAAAAACAAGGGAGGACAGGGAGUGGGGUGCGCUAUAUGAGAUUCUGGUGCAGAAUUCGGGCUUUGUAGGCAAAACAUGCCAGGUUCAAUCCUUGGCAGACCUGGGAAAGAAUCCAGUCACGGUAGACCACACUCUUCAACAUGGACGAAAGGUCUGAUCUGCUUCAAAGUAGGUUCCUGGUUUCCUGUUUAAGAAAAGGCCUUGGGCAGAGUAGAUAGGACAGGUAGGAUUAAUGGCAAACACCUAAAGAAUUUGUAAGGUGGGUGUGCUGAAUCUGUAGUUCAAACUUAUGCAUGUUUCUCCAGAUGCAAGUCCCAUUCGACUUACUACCAGCCAGGUGCGUUUAGGAUUAUAGCAAUGGCAGACCCUCCAAGUGUCCCUAUUUUCCAGAGACGGUCCAAGAUUUACAGAAGCCAUCCCAGUUUUUGAUUUGAUCCUGGAAUGUCCAUCUUUUCCUUAGGACGUCCCAAUUUUCAUUGGAGAAAUGUUGGUGGGUAUGGAGUUAUGCGAGCCCCCUGAGCCAAGGAGGUAAGUAACUAUACAUCCUUUAGAAGACAUCUGAAGGCAGCCCUGUAUAGCAAAGUUUUAAAAUGUUUAAUGUUUCAUUACGGUUUUAUGUAUGUUGGCAGCUACCCAGAGUGGAAGGGGCAACCCAGUCAAAUGGGUAGGGUAAUAAUAAUAAUAAUAAUAAUAAUGAUGAUGGAAUAGGACACCCCUAUUUUUAUUGGUGACACGGGUGGCGCUGUGGUCUAAACCACUGAGCCUCUUGGGCUUGCUGAUCAGAAGGUCGGGGGUUCGAAUCCCGCAACGGGAUGAGCUCCCGUUUUUCGGUCCCUGCUCCUGCCAACUUAGCAGUUCGAAAACACGUCAAAGUGCAAGUAGAUAAAUAGGUACCGCUCUGGCGGGAAGGUAAAUGGCGUUUCCGUGCGCUACUCUGGUUCGCCAGAAGCGGCUUAGUCAUGCUGGCCACAUGACCUGGAAGCUGUAUGCCGGCUCCCUCGGCCAGUAAAGUGAGAUGAGCGCUGCAACCCCAGAGUCGGCCACGACUGGACCUAAUGGUCAGGGGUCCCUUUACCUUUACUUUUACUAUCCUUAACAUUCCCACAAGCAGACUCCCACAUUAAAACCUGCCCCUUCAUGUUUGUUUAGCUACAGUUUCCCCCCCAACCAAUUGAAGGAAACAUUUGGAGGUAUUAAAAAGCAGAACUAGAAACUAAACAAAAGUGGCAGGAUUGUCACCAAGGUCCACACUUCUGCGGGUUCUCAGCUAGGGAAUCUGCCAUGAGUUCUGAAAUAUGCUGACUACUGUCAACUUCCAUGCACAGCUGUUUAUACAGACCUCCGUGGUUUUGUUUGGAUAAGAGGCAUUUGACCAAAGAAACCCCACCCCUGCCCUUUCAACAAGGCUGUUGAUAUAGCUCGCUCUUUCACCGCCUGCAGGAAGUCAUGGGCAAUGACGCAAUAUAAUGUUCACCAUUUUGCGUCCUGCGAUGAACCAUAAAUAUUCAAGGCGCAUAACAUCAAGUCCAACAUGAGCAACACUUUGGGAUGGGAGAUCUUUACCACACCUGCACUGCACGCACAUGUUUCCUCCGCUUUCCAUCCUAUCAGAUGCACAUUAUGAAAUAGAAUAAAAUGUGAAUUAUCUAGCACCAAUAAGAGAUCAGAGCAGGACUGCAGGAUCUGAUGCCCUCUGUUGCUAGACUACAAUUCAUGCAAACCCUGCCCAUUAGUUAUGCUGGCCAGGGUUAAAGAGGAUUGAAGUCUAUCAAUGUCGGGAGGUUUCCCAUUUCUAGAACAGAUGCACACCUGGCAGGGCAAAAUCUGUUCUACUUUUUUGUCCUAGAAUGAGUACCUAUAGCAUGUGAUGGAGAAAAAUAACAUGGUGUACCUGACACAGUGCCAGACAUUUUGCUGAUGAAUGAUGCCCAAAUUUUGCCCCCUUCACAGAGAAUGGGACUCAUUUGCACUCCCACAAUACGUGUGUUCAUAUUUUUCCAUCUAUAUAUUUCAUGGGUUGUUGGGGUUUUUUUAAACUUACCAUUGCCCAUCACAUGCUUCUAUAUUUACAUGAAUAAUUCUACCUUAAGACCAAGCCUGACAUCACUCAGAAGCAUGCCAGGUUUAUUUUUAAUUAAUAGUUGUCAUUGGCGGAGGGUGGGGGGAGGCAUGGCAAACAUUUUUAAUUGGGAUUACAAAGUGCAGAAAGGGGAAUAUUACCUCUUCUCCCUACAGACAAAAUCCCAAUGAAAAUUUAGCUCCCUUAAAUAAUAAUAAUAAAACCCUCCUAUUUACCUUCAAAAAAGGACUAAUCAUUAUAUGGGGAGGGCAAUUUUCACUGGGAUUGUGGUUGGAGAGAGAAUGUUCUUCUUCCCCUCCCCAUGUGCUGUAAUCUAAAUAAAAAUCCCCACCUCCCCCAUGCCUUCUAUCAUUUUCAAAAAAGGGGAGGUGGACCUGAUGUGCUUAUUAAUGGUGUGUUUAGUACAGGGCCGGAUCAAGACCUUUAGAGGCCAGUAUAUAUCUAAUUCAAAACUUAAACAAGAAUAAAACGUAAAAUGAAAUUUUACUUUUCGAAAUGAAACGAAACCUACAGUAAGAUGAAAAAUAAUGUUUAUUUUUGUAAACUUUACUUAUAUUCGGGGGGUGUAUCCUGCUUUUUCUAACUGCAAUUCUAUCAGAGCCUCAAAACUAAUCUUACGUAACACAUCUACUUCUAAACUUAGUGGAUAUAAGGCAUCCAGCUGGCCUUGCUGCGUAGUUGUUCCGUUCUGAUUUUUAAUAUAUUUCAACUGAGAAAAUGAAUGCUCAGCCGAGCAAUUUGGGACCAUGAAUGUUAAAAAUCCAACAAUGGGAAAUUUCUUUGGCGCCCUCCUUCCCUUGAUGCCCUAAACAUGUGCUUAUUUUGCUUAAUGGUUAAUCUAGCCCUGGUUUAGCAUCAUGUCUAGUUUGUCUCUUAGCAAUUGUUCCUAAGUUAACAAAUAAUGUGUUCUUUAAAAAAAAACCCAGCUUUGAAUCUGCACUGCACAAAAUACUUCCAAAAGCUUCCUUUCCCCCACUUUCCCGUUGUUCUUGUCCUCAAGCCUCUCCUUUCAGAGACGCAGCUCUCCGUGAGCUGCCGCUUCUGCACAGUUGCAGACAGUUGCAGUGCCUUGCAGCUUGUGAUACCCAGAGACAUUCUCCCAGAGCGCAUUUGCCUGGCUUCUCUGAACUCUCCACUCCUCACACCUCUGCAGGCACAUCUUCUGCAGAUAAAGGUAAAGGACCCCUGACAGUUUAGUCCAGUCACGAACAACUCUGGGGUUGCGGCGCUCAUCUCGCUUUACUGGCCGAGGGAGCCAGUGUACAGCUUCUGGGUCAUGUGGUCAGCAUGACUAAGCCACUUCUGGCGAACCAGAGCAGCGCACGGAAAUGCCAUUUACCUUCCUGUCAGAGCAGUUCCUAUUUAUCUACUUGCACUUCAUGCUAUCGAACUGCUAGGUUGGCAGGAGCUGGGACCGAGCAACGGGAGCUCACCCCAUCGCGGGGAUUCGAACCGCUGACCUUCCAGCUGGCAAGCCCAAGGCUCAGUGGUUUACACCACAGCACCACCUGCACCCUUGCCUUCUUCUGCAGAUAAGACUACAUAAAGAUACACCUGGCACAAGCAUGCAUGCAAAGCAAGCAUGCAAAGUAGGUGCCCAAACUCCAGAACAACCCACACCGACCCCUCAUCCCCUCUUUUCUUUGAGGGGCACAACAGCUCUCUUCCAAAAGGAAAUGAUACUAGUUGUGAGUCUCAGUCAAAAAAACCCUGUUUUCCAGCCACAUUUGCUCACACUGAAUAUUGUUUCCCUCCAGCCUUGGGCUCUGGCCAGACUCUAAAACCCAUGCAUUUCUGUCUUGAUGUCUACAGUUAACUUGCAUUUCUUCAUUAUCCUUUUGCCAGCUGGUGAUAUUAAAAUAUACCAUGUCCUAAGGGGCUGUAUCAAUUACACGAGCAUUAAAAAAGAAAAAUCAAAGGCAAGAGCAGAGGCAGUUUUUCUCCUUUAAAAAAUGAGCAAGUGCUUCUUAUAAAAUAUUAAGCUUCGCACCCCCCUCCAAAUUGUAGCUUUUUCAGAUGACAUAUGCUGAGUACGAGUAUUCCCCACAAGCUGUGUGUGCUUAUUGCCUGAAUGUUAUUUCAACGUAUGGUCUGUAAAAAACAGGGGCCGGCAGGUAAGGGCUGCUCCACAAGUUAGGUGGCACGUGAGCAUGAGCACAUAAUGUCUGAAUGAGACCUGAAUGUCUGUAUAUACAUGAAAGCCGUGUCCCAAGAGCUGCCAUUGGCUACAGUUCCCUAAAAUAUACGUGUUUCACAGAGACUAAGCCUCUCGUUUCAUAGGUAAGGGUAUUCCAUGGGAAUGAUGGGUUGAGACAAAGAGCUGUUAUAAAGAAAAACAGCUCCUUUUCCCUUAUGGGGUCCCCAAGAGCCCAUACAGAGUCCUUUUUUAGGUUCUCUAUCGGUAGGAGAAAAUAACAGAGGCAAACCAGAGAAUAUUGAGAAGCAAAGCAGCUAGUAAGCCUGAUCUUUAUUAAAGCUGUUGCAACAGGGCACUCCUCCCACACGCAGGAGGCAGGAAGAGGACCCCGAACCACAAGCCCUUAUAUAGACUUUUGAACUGCCCAUCUUGGAGCACAAGACCACCCCCCCAAUACAUCAUACAUACAUCAGAGAAGGGGCGGAUUACAACAGAAAUCUGAGUGUGUUGAUUUUAUCCUGUUUGCCAGGUUACCUGAUUGGAUUACCUGGGCAUCGUGGCCACUCUCUUGUUAUGAUAACUACUCAAUUCCUGAAUCCAGGUCACAGGUCACAGGCUCACCCUAUUCAUAUCUUAAAUGUGCCUUUGAGACAGGAUUUGUGAGCAAAGACACAAUGGGCAGGCUCCCCAUUUCCUUCGACCUUGCAAAGAAAUAUUUGAGGUCAAUUUGGAAGAGAGAAUGGUUUCAGGAUUUUUCCUGUACUGAUUCAGACAUGUGGUUUAUAUAUUUAUGUAUGUGUUUGCCUGGUACAUUUAUUUUAGAUCAUGGGUGGGCAAACUAAGGCCCAGGGGCCGCAUCCAGCCCCAUCACCUUCUAAAUCCGGCCCGCGGACGGUCUGGGAAUCAGCGUGUUUUUACAUGAGUAGAAUGUGUCCCUUUAUUUAAAAUGUAUCUCUGGGUUAUUUGUGGGGCAUAUGAAUUCGUUCAUUAUUUUUUUUCAAAAUAUAGUCCAGCCUCCCCCCCCCCAAGGUCUGAGGGACAGUGGACCGGCCCCCUGCUGAAAAAGUUUGCUGACCCCUGUCUUAGACCUUAUAAUUCUUAUAACAGAGCAAUGCCAUCUGAUACAUAAAGCAUGAAUUGCUCCCGAAAUGAAUAUCAAAAGCAUAAGCCAAGAGUAGCCAAUUUUCUUUUGACUACAACUCCCAUCAUCCCUGACCCUUGGCUGUGCUGGCUAGAGCUGAUGGGAGUUGUAUUCCAACAGCAUCUGAGGCCUCCCAAGUUGGCUGCCCGUGUAAAAAGCUGUUGGUGAGGCAUUGAUAUAUACUGUGAAGUCUGAUAUCUUUCUUUUCCAUCACACUGCAAUCCAUAAAUGCCUCACUCCUUGAGGUGGAGGAGCUAACCCAGAAUGAGGAUAGCUUGGAUAGCUCAGCUGGGGAGAGCGUGGUGCUGAUGACGCCAAGGUUGCAGGUUCGAAUCCUGUACGGGGCAGCUGCAUAUUCCUGCUUUGCAGGGCGUUGGACUAGCAUAUCCUCAGGGUCCCUUUAAUCUCGACAAUUCUCUGAGAUGAGGUAGCAGCAUUGGAGAUGGGAGGGACAUUUGGUUCAGUUUGCAUUCUAACGUGCAGCUACAUAAUUUGCGCUUAAACAAGGGGAACGCAAAAUGAAGCCUACCCUUUAGAAUUGGCAUUUCCCCAAACUGCAUGCAAAAAUUUGUAUACUAAGAGAAAUCCCCACAUCACUCUGUCACUGCGUCCUAAGAAUGGGCUGGGGUGUUUUCUCCCCAUAAAUCAGGGCUGCUGCUGCUGCAUUAUUAUUAUUUAAAGUGCAGAUUUGUAAUCUGCGCCAAGCAACUGCUGAAGGCAGCUGUCUCUCUCACACUUAAUGGCUGACCUGGCUGUGCUUCAAACUACAUGCAGUCAUAAAGCAUUUGUGUACAGGAUAUUGUGUUCAUUUUCACUAAGCUCAUGAUGAACCCCAUGAAGGUGAGGGGGAGUGAAAAAUCUCCCUUGCUCCAAUACUGGUGCCUUACAAUUAUCUGAACUGUGUGUGUGUGUGUGUGUGUGUGAGAGAGAGAGAGAGAGAGAGAGAGAGAGAGAGAGAGAUGAGAAAAAAGAAUACAGUAUUCAGGAUUGAGGCUGGGAGUGGGGGAAAUGAUAUUUAAUAUUCUGCAUUCUCCCUCAAUUGAAAAGCAUUUUGAAACAUGGAAACAAUAGUAGAAUUGUUGCCGUCAACAAUACUGGUCAAGGCUUCAGUGAUACUCAUACAAAUCAUGAACAAUGCAUUCAUCAAGUUGGAAAACUGAGGCUUUGUGCGAUUGAAAAGAGCGCUUUUGAAAAGUAAUUGAACAAAUGUACUUCUUCCCUUCCCUUUUACAGUGCAUUCCUCGGGGGUUAGCAAAAUGGCAAAAGGCUACAUACUUUAUCGUGCAUCAGCAAUUUUUUGCAUGUGCAGCCCUACAGGAAUGAAACUAUAGCUUUGUUUCACAAGGAGUUUCCUCAGCCCACAGAGUAAUAAAGCAAUUCUUCAAGCCAACAAAGAUGGAGUAUUUUAACCAAAGGACAUUCCUCAGAGAUGAGGCUCGCUGCUGAUUAGAAAAGGCCCAUUCUGCAAUUAAAAUGGUGCCGCCAAUUUACAUCUUGAAAUAUUUGGAAUGGUAUCACAGAAGGCUCAGAGCAGCUGUCAAGGAAAGAUGGUAUUUUCUCAUAAAGGCCUCCUUCAGAAUAUGAGCUACCCUUCCAGUUUUGCCUAGUAGGAGAUUUCUUAAAUGAUCCUUAAUCGUCAAUAUAAAUCAGAAAAAAUCAUAACAGAACAGACAGCCCAGGGUUAGUUGAACUUGUACAAAGCAGCAAUUAUUUGCUCAACAACCUCUCUAAUGCACUUGUAUCAGGGUUUUUUACUUCUUCAUGAGUUCAUGCCACAUAACAAUAAUGGAUUUUUAAAAGUGCUUGCUCUUUUGUUUCGGAAACAGAUUUAUCAUUCUGUGUUUUAAAUGGAUUAGGAAAACCUACCGUAAACUAAAACGUUUAACUCCACCAAAAAAAUAUUCUUGAUCGAACAUAGAUGUAAUAGGAGAGACCUAUUGGGAAUGUCUCACUGCGGCCAUAGUUCAUUAGUUUAAUGGCAGAGGCCUAGGCAAGCAGAAAGGCACCUCUGUUUUACGAGGUAUGCUCCCCCGCAGACACUCCAAGUAUCCCUAUUUUCCAGGGACAGUCCCAGAUUUACAGAAGCCAUCCCUAGUUUCUGAUUUGAUCCCAUAAUGUCCCGCUUUUCCUUAGGACGUCUCUAUUUUCAUCAGAGAAAUGUUGGAGUGUAUGAUAGGACAUCCCUAUUUUCGUCAGAGAAAUGUUGGAGGGUAUGGAGUUAUGCGACCCCCCACCCCACCCCCAACCAAGGAAAUAAGUAACUAUACAACCUUCAGAAGGCAGCCCUGUAGAGGGAAGUUUUUUUAAUGUUUAAAGUUUUAUUAUGUUUUUAUAUAUGUCAGGAGCCACCCAGAGUGGCUGCAGCAACCCAGUCAGAUGGGCGGGGUGUUGUUGCUGUUGUUGUUAAUGUCCCUAUUUCCAUCGGAUAAAUGUUGGAGGGUAUGUGGGAGGGAAUAAUUCCACAAAUUAUUCCCUCCCACUACAACAGUGCGGGCUGGGGGUGGGGAGAAGGCAGUGAGCACACUUGAAAUUUUGAGAACAUGUUGUGAGCACCAGUCACAAAAUGGCUGCUGUGGGGGCAUCGCAUGGAACAACAUUGCUAUUGUAGAGUUGUUACUUAACCACAAAAUGUCUGCCACAUCCAAAAGAGAAAAAAAGAGAGAGAGAGAGGACCACAAGAUGUUGUGUGCAUGCCUCUUCAUCUGCCGCCCCAUCAAUGGGAAAAGGACAUCUACAUCAGCCAAUGCUUCCCUUGCUGACAGAAGCUCUUUGCACCUUCUCUGUUCAAAACAGGAGGAACAGAAGAUGCUCAAUCCUGGUAUACAGUGAAAUGUGGGGAUACCUAAAGGGGCGUGUUCAGGAGGGGCUGAGCCGGUGCAAACAGGAACUAAGCAGAACCAGCAAACGGUCUCUCAUGUAUCAUGGAUUUCUGAGGGCAUAUUUACCAAGUCCAUUCAUAGGAGGUGCUGGUGUGCGCACUGGCAUCCAUGAGACCACUUUGGUGUUGUCUGCACUACAGAUUCCCCACUGCCACCGCCCCAUCCCAUGCCAUUCCGGAGGGUCCCCCAAACUUGAGUUGCAUUUCAGAGGACACAGUGAAGCAGAAGGGGAUGAGAAAGCCCCAUUGCCCAGACAGAGUUUUGCUUGCACUACUUUGGAUUCAGCUCAUUGUACAGACCCAACAAGUUCAGAAUCAGAGUUCCAGAGUGUUGUAAACAAAAUCUGCCCUUCUUCCCUUAUGGGGUAUCCAAGGGCCCAUAUAGAGUCCUUAAGUGGGUUCCCUACAUCACAGAAAGGGUGUAACCCAAGACCACACCCCACAAACAUCAUACCUACAUCACAGAAAAGGUGGUCUACAACAGAAAUUUGAAUGUUGUUGUUUUUCCUGUCUGCCAGGUUCUCUGAUAAUGCCUUAUUUGAUUGCCUUUCCUGGUAGUUUGGCCAUUCCUUUGAAAUGGUGAUUACCCAAUUCCUGAGACAAUGGGAAGGUUCCCUCACCCCCUCCCUCCUUGCAGAGAAAACAUUUGGUCAGUUUGGGAGUCAAAAUGGUUUCAGGACGGUCUUCCUGUGCUGCUCCAGACAUGUGGUCCACAUAUCUAUGUACGUGCUUGGUUGGUACAUUUAUGAACAUUUAUUAUAUAUAUAAGACCUUAAUUUUUUUAAUACAAGAGCAUUGUGUUUCAUCACCCCAAAUUACAAGCGGUUGUGCAACCGACUACGCCUUUAAUGCUACGCAGCCAAUAACCGUGAUUGUGGAGUCCAGGAAUGGUGGAAUCAUCAUGAGAAUCUCUGGGCAUAAUUUGGGACUUGCAGUGAACGUUAGAUGGAAAAUCCACUUGCAAGCCUAUCAAUGUAAUCAGUCGCUGAGUAUAAUGAAGUACCAAAUAACCUUCCUGGGAUUGCAGCCAAUGGAACAAAUUUUCUCUGGGUUGGCAAACGAGAGUCAUUCAGCAAAAGGGAAGAAGAGAGCAGGUGAAGGAAAGGGAGGUCUGGUUUUGUGGCUGUUUUGCACUGCAACUGCGAGUGUGAAAAAUCUGGAAUAUCCCAUUUGCACUCUGCUGGGUUGUACGAACAAUGAUCUCAUCGCCACCCAGCUGCCUCACUUCAGCCCAUUACUUGGAGCAAAUUGCAUGCUGCUUCAACAUUUGACCUUGGAAGCAUUUUUAAGAGGUAGGAAUGAAAAUCCAUUAGAUCUGAAAAAUGUGGGGGAAAUUAUUUUUAAGAGGGUUUGUAGAAAAUAAAAAUAAAGAACAGUAUAGGAAAUAGCCUGCUAAACAACACAAAUACUUUCUAACCACCCAGUGGUAAUAAACCAUCAUUAGGAAGUCAGGUAUAAUUUGAAGCAUGUUUAUAGAAGAUCAACGUUCAAGUUCUUAAACCUUUAAUGAAUCAAAAUCACCGACAUUAGACUUCAAUAGAUUUGUGCCCUCACAAAUGGGGGGCAUAAAAACCAAAGUGGAGAUCUCAGCAGAAAAGAUGGGUGGGAUUCUGCUUAUGAUAUAGGCUGUUCUUGGGCCUUGGCACCAGCUUCUACUUUGAGCCCCCCAAAAAUGGGCUACAGAAGGUAUGCCGAACCUCUAGAAUAGUGUGAGAGGUAGUGAGGGAGGCUGCAGGGGGAAAGGGAAAAAAUUGAUUCUGUAACCCACAUGCUGCAAGUUAAUUUGUUUUUCAAAAUAACUACAGUGGUACCUCAGGUUACAUACGCUUCAGGUUACAGACUCCGUUAACCCAGAAAAAGUACUUUGGGUUAAGAACUUUGCUUAAUGGGGGGUGCGGGGGUGGGGGGUGCCCCAGGUUCCAUCACGGAGGGGGGUGUCAAAAAGGAACAAUUACUGCCCUACUAGGGCGGUUCAUAAAUUAUUAUUUUUUUGAAAAUGCCUGCUCCAAAGGUCUUAUCUUACUACACUAGGGAUUAUGUAGCUAUACAGUGGUACCUCAGGUUACAUACGCUUCAGGUUACAUACGCUUCAGGUUACAGACCCAGUUAACCCAGAAAAAGUACCUCGGGUUAAGAACUUUGCUUCAGGAUGAGAACAGAAAUCGUGCUCCAGCGACGCGGCGGCAGCGGGAGGCCCCAUUAGCUAAAGUGGUGCUUCAGGUUAAGAACAGUUUUGGGUUAAGAAUGGACCUCCGGAACAAAUUAAGUACUUAACUUGAGGUACCACUGUAUUCUAAUUAAGACUGAGCUUUUCAAAAUGGACAACCAUUGAGGGAAGGAUUGGUCUUCUAGGACAGCAAUUUUUUCAAUUAUGAGCAGUGGGAAGAACAUGGACAUAUGCUGACUGUAUCUAGCAUUCCAUGUCUUCGGAAGGGCAGGAUCUGCACAGAAGAAGAGUUUGGAUUUGAUAUUCCGCCUUUCACUCCCUUUAAGGAGUCUCAAAGCGGCUAACAUUCUCCUUUCCCUUCCUCCCCCACAACAAACACUAUGUGAGGUGAGUGGGGCUGAGAGACUUCAAAGAAGUGUGACUGGCCCAAGGUCACCCAGCAGCUGCAUGUGGAGGAGCGGAGACGCGAACCCGGUUCCCCAGAAUACGAGACUACCGCUCUUAACCACUACACCACACUGGCUCUCCAGCAUUAAUCC